CCUACGGGAGGCAGCAGUGGGGAAUAUUGCACAAUGGGGGGAACCCUGAUGCAGCAAUGCCGCGUGGGUGAAGAAGCACUCCGGUGCGUAAAGCCCUGUCAGCAGGGAAGAAAAUGACAGUACCUGGACAAGAAGCCCCGGCUAACUACGUGCCAGCAGCCGCGGUAAUACGUAGGGGGCAAGCGUUAUCCGGAUUUACUGGGUGUAAAGGGAGCGCAGGCGGCGUGGCAAGUCAGAUGUGAAAACCCGGGGCCCAACCCCGGGAGUGCAUUUGAAACUGCCAUGCUGGAGUGCCGGAGAGGUAAGCGGAAUUCCUAGUGUAGCGGUGAAAUGCGUAGAUAUUAGGAGGAACACCAGUGGCGGAGGCGGCUUACUGGACGGUAACUGACGCUGAGGCUCGAAAGCGUGGGGAGCAAACAGGAUUAGAUACCCCAGUAGUC
This 440-nucleotide ribosomal RNA is filed under the name uncultured bacterium. RNAcentral's name for it is "partial 16S ribosomal RNA". It matches the Rfam family "Bacterial small subunit ribosomal RNA", at positions 338 to 795 of the family's 1533-position model. The record is from RNAcentral.